ACAGACCUGCUGACAUGUGCAAGAGUGACACGAAGCAUUAUCUUUUACACAGCUUCAACAGGUUAACUCCUAGAAUGUAAACAUUUCAAGAAUAGACGCAUAGGGUAUGUAUACAGAAGAAACUAUUUUCUUUCUAGAGCAGCUGGAAAUAAAUUAAAGGUAUAUUGAGCAAGCUGAUACAUUUGAAAAUCCUAGCCUGGACAUUAAACAAAUAUAUGAAAUAUUACACCCCAGGAUAAACAGCAAAUAUUUUGAGUUCUUUAACAAAUAUUUGCAGACGUGCACGUUGAUGGACCAGGUAAUCAAAGGAACUGCAGUUGGGUAGCAUGAUUUAAAACAGAUGCAAAAUCUAUGUGAAGUCUCUAAACACUCUUGUACCAUGCUUCUUGUACUCGGGUUCUUCUGGAACAGAACUUAGCCAUUCUGUGUGCCCUGUUCCUGGCACUUCCUUUGGCUUGGGAACAUUUGAGGUCUCCAGCUAUGUUUGUCAAAAGAGGGAAUCUUCCCAGAGGAAUUUUAUCUGUCUGCUCCUGGAACCAAGUGCAGCAACAAGUUGUUACCUCAAGCCAAGGUUUAUGAGGCUUAGAAUCACUUUAUUUACAUGUGUUUUCCAGAAGCGAAGGAAGCAUUUCAGACAGUUUCAUUAAAGAGAAACAAGUCUAUCUGCAGAAGGAUCUGUCAUGCGCGAUUUUGUUUACUUCUGUCCGUUUGCUAACCUCAGACUUCAGUGAGUCACGGUAUUUUUACUGCCAUACUAUCCAUUCCAUAGGCUUUAGCACACUCCUCCAGUUAAUUAUUAACAAAGUCCAAAGGUAUCCACCCCUCUCCCACACAGAUAUUCCUGCUAAACACAGCUCCAUAAGAUCUUCUUACUUACAACUGUUCAUUACAGUUUGGACAAGUACAGUGUUAAGGAGCUGAUGCUUUGGUGUUCCGUAAAUUCAGCAGGUUUGAACGUCAUGGUUCCUGCUGCUGCUUGCAUAUCCAAACAAAGGGGACCUGCAACAGUCCUGAAGACAUUUACUAGCUUAACUCUUCUUCAUCCACUUGAGAAUCACCUUCUUUUUCAGGAUUCCCUGUAGCUACCUUCUAAGAAAAUGAGCUCUUUUCUCUUUCCUGAUUCUUUGGCUCACUCAGUGCUGUCAUGCUCUCCACUUCUUUGCCUAGGCCUGACUGUGAUUUGGUGCCAGGCAGGUUCCAGCAGUACUGCAGAUGGAAGAAAUCAGACAGCAUUUCUUCAUCACAGCACACUGUCUCUCCAGUGCAUGGGGCAUAUGCCAGGAAUUAGAUCAGGAAAUGAUUUUUAUUUCCUGCAGCUUUUAAAAGUUAUUUUUCAGCUGAACAGGUCUCCUAAUCUGGUUCACAGAAUGGCCCUAAAAACUGCUGGUAGUGAGGGAACAGUGAGAACGUAGUGCUGAGACGUUCCUGAGUCUACAGUAUCAGGAAUCUACGGCCUUACUGCUGCUCGCCUCAGAUGAGCUGUCUCUGAACAUCUAACAAGAAAUAAGCUUGUUGAUGUGUCCUGGCACAGUAAAUCUGCAUGCAUUUUCAAAUCUCAUCUGGCCUCUUCCACAAAACAAGAUAUCUUGUUUGGAAAUCAUUUGGUCAAACAUUUGAAACAGUUUUGGACUGUCUUGCUUUCAAAAACUUGUUAAUCGUGAUUUUCACAUGACAAAGCAAAGCAAAAAAAAAAGCAAAAAGAACAGUGAGAAAUACCUCAACGAGGUCAUGGCCAGUUGAAGUGUGAAGAUAAAAGCGGCACCUGAAAAGGAUCUGCCCAACUGCAAGCUUCUUUUACUUAAAAAUCUGAUCUGUGGAUAUGUAAUAAUUGAGUAAAGAGCCCAAAAAUGAAACAUGUGAUCGUUCUUCAUAAAAGGUUGUUCUAGCAUGUGCUCAAAGUAUCAGUCAUGAAAGCUGGAAAAAAUGGGUGUAGCACAGUGAGAGUUAGUCAUGGCCUGGAAAACAGGGUAGGAAAACAAUUUAAGCAGAAUAGUUACUCAGCUAAUUGCUUUGAAUAAGUAUCAGAUUUACACACCCUAGCACCCAAACUCAAAAUUUCUACUUGAUAUGAUGUACUUGAAAACCUACACUGACAGAAAUAUCUUUCUCUUUCUCCAGGUUGAGAAAAAAAAUAAAAUUAGGUGUUUUCGAAGACUGUAUUUAGGCUUGCAAAAGCAACUAGAAAAAAGAAACCACUUGCUUUAAGGCUCUUGGAGCAGUGCAAAAGUGUGGAUACAAAGUCCUAGUAACUCCCAGUUUGUUUUCAACUUGCUCUUUCCAUGUGCUGCCACUCUGCCACUCUCAAAGCAGCAUGCAACCUGUACUUUCCCUUGAAUUGCCUUAAAAAUAAAAAAAAGGUCAAAACCCAACGCUUAACUUUAAACUCACCUUCAAAAGCAGCUUAAGCCAAACCACUGGACUUUGCAGGAAAACAAAUAUGAGUGCACAUGACUCACGCUGACUCUGCUUGGGUGCUCCAGCAGAAACAUAACUUUUAAAAUCACUGCAUCUGCUUGCUAAAUUAAUGUACUUAUACCUUUGGUGCAUGAAGAACGCGGGCUGAAGUGCAAUCCCUAGUAUGAAGGCAAACAUCACUUCCAACUGUAGUUUUGAUUUCUGUGUCUGGGCUGCAAAGAGCUGAGAUCACAGGAAGCUGACAUAUACAUGGUAAUUCCUUCCUAAACUCUGCAUAAUACAUGAGAAAAGGCGCAUAAACUACUGAAGCUUAGAUUAAGGCUAUAACUAAAGCCAGACAAGAAUAAAUAAGUAUUGAUCAAAGUAUGCUGGGAGAACUUACCAUUUGUAGUGUGUGCUAAUCUAAGCAUGCAAGGACAUACGCAUGCACUGCAUGGGUAUUUAAAUGGACACAGUACAAGUCUUAAAGAGAACCUAUCAUAAGCUGCUAAUUGUAUUAAGAAACAUGAUCCACCAUGCAUUUUUUAUUGCUUCAGUGUUCUGUAUUGAUCUUCAGGAACAUGGUGGAUUUUAGCAUGAUUAUUAAAGAACAGUAGGCAGAGCACAGGGCAUUAGAGGUAUUAGAGGAAAGAAGGGUUGGUUGUUGGAAGCAGCCACUAGAAAGGAGUACAGAACAGUUGCAAAUACUAAAGAGGCUUGAGAGUAAAGGAUAGCUUUAACUGAAGAGUGGGAAGAACGAAGGGCAAAAAAUAUGUUGCAAUAGUAAAUAAUGAAUAAGACAUGAAUCACAGUGAUGGUGCUGUUGACAGAGAGGUUUAAAGAUGUCGCCCAAGAGGAGAACCUCAGUGUGACAAAUGAGACACCAAAUAUGAAAUGCAGACUGGGGAAGAAGAAGCAGCAGAGAAUUUGCUGAGCCAACGGGGCAAAAGCAGGGAAGUGAAAGGCCUGGAUAGGAAAAAUGCUGUCUUUGAAGCAGGAAACAUUUAAAUACUAUUCAAUCUGCUAAAUCCUGCUGAAUCUGGUAAUAGAAUGCCAAGUGAAACCAAAAUGCACAGGAAAGGAAUCUUACACUGGGGGAGGAAGACACUUGGAUGAGAGGUAGAGCGUAUUUAGGAAAGAACCAAACAGAUGAUUGUUAAGAGUACUUGCUUGCUCCUGUAAACUAUUUUCAAUCUAAUACUUUCCCCGAUGGUUGUUUGACAUGUUACAGAAGGGUCAGGAGUGGGCUUCCCCUCUGGAAGAUCUUGGACAGGGCUUCCCCUUUCAUUUACCCAUAAUGUGUGAAUCAUUUGUUACUGUAAGAAAGGCAUUUGCUCACCAACAACAGUUUUUCUUAAAAACAAAAAAACAAAAAAAUCACCUUUUUAUUAAAAUGGAGAAAUAAAUGAGUUGCAGCAAUAAUAUUGGGGGAACUAUCUCAUUAAGCAAAAUGUAAAUCCACAAUUCUUUCAAUUGUUUUCAAUAACAACAGCCAGCCAAUAGUAAUUAUGAAAGCAUCAGCAUGAAAGGGAUAUUGUUUAUUAGAGAAUUCCUAAACACUUUGGGCCAAGAAGGGUUAAAUGGUAAGUUUUGAGCAGCAGCAUCUUAAAUACAACUGUUCAGACAGGAGACAGGAAGAGAUGUACUGACAUCUGGAGCAUUUGGUCUUGAAGUUCUGACAAACAAUGAACUAUUUCACUAGUAAGUAAGAAGUAAUGAGUAAAUUCACUUUCAAAGUUGGAUAGAAAAUAUCUUAGAAAUGACUGUCUUGGUCCACAGUCUACAUCAAGUGGAACAGCAUCUUAAACAUCUGUAAUGAAAAUUAAAUAUAGUUAAAUAUAGCUAUCAACUUUAAUCUCUUAUUUUGUAGGAAAAGUAAACCUUACUUAGAUUAAAAAAUAAUCCAAUAUCUAGAGAGUUUUGUGGAAAAUUGGGCUUGUGUAAGCCUGUAACCUGCUCCCUGGUUCUGUCCAGGACUUGUCAUAUUAAAAUGAGGCAGGUGUGCUUGAGAUCAUUUAUCUUAGAAUGUGUUCAUUUACCACUCUUAGAAGUUUACUCUUAUAUAGCCCAGAGACCUGCAUCUAAAGCCAGCCAGCCCUCAAAGACAGCCUGCCCUAAAACAGCAGUUAAUCCCAGCACAGACCUUUCUGUGAAACUUCUGCAGUGGGACAGCAAGAAAGGUAAGGAUGGGCUCAUCUCACAUUUGCCUCUGUUUCACCAGUUCGCUUGUGUAGGUGGGUUGAUUUGGAGAGAGAACCAGUCCUUUAAGAAUAAUUUGCAUAUUGCAUAUGUACGUAAGCCAUGUAUUUAACUGAUAUAACUCAUGUUGUCAUCUUCCAUUUAUUAUCACUCAGGACUUUUGGCUUCACGUUACUCUGACAGAUCACAAGUGGGCAGGAUUCAGCCUGCACAAAAUUAUGCACAAAAGUCUUAAAUUACACUCAAAAGUUUUUAUAUACUUCUGUUAGUGACUUCUGUUUGUAAAGCUUGCUCUCUUGUGAAAGUCUGUCCACCUCUUUUCCUUUAAGAAGAGUAAUACGGUUACACUGAAAUAAUUUUCAGUGAGUGAACAGUAGCUCAUCAUUAAAUCAUUAGCCACAGAAAGAGAAAAGGAACUUGUGUGCUUUUCCAGCUUAUGAAACACUGUAUGUGCUGUUUGGGGCUGCAGUUUCUGUUCAGAUAAAUGUCUAAUGGAAAGGCCCCACUUUAUGGCUUGUAGUGACCUUGUUAAGAAAGUCUUUCAUGAUGACACAGCAGAACUGAGACACAUUGUCUGUUAAAAUUCCUAUCACUGGAUAAGCAAGAGAAACCACAGCAAAUAUUUGAGUGCAGGGGCAGCCCACUUCCUGCAUGUCACCAGGAGCUAGAGGAGCUGGCAAAGGCACAGCAAGCCUUUGCUGAUCCCAUUCCCAAAGUUGUGAUCCAUGGUCUGACUGGAUCCGCUCACCUUCUUCCACACAGAUGCUGCAAGACUCCCUGCCUGUUGUUUAACAGCCAGGAAGACAUUCUUGUUUUGCAAAUGAAAACAUUUUAUUACAGAAAGACUACGUGUGAUGGAGACCUCUGACAAAGCCAGCUAGAUGCUGAAAAGAUGGAAAAUCAGCCACUGCACAAGUCUGACUGCUUGUUUCACAACUGUCAAUCCAUUGAGCAACACCAAUAUUGUUAUUGCACAUUAAUAGAAUGCAACAGUAAUUAUAGCUUAUUCCAUCUAAAAGCCUGGUAAAUAAUCUAAUUUCAGAUUUCUAAAAGCUUGCACAUUUGAACAGCUAAUGGAUGUUUCUGAUACUUACUAUUAUUAAGAUUCGAAUUGUGAUACAAAUUUAUGCAACCCUAUCAGGAAGCUGCAUGCAGAAUCACUUUCAGUACCAAAGAAAUCAGCAAAGUGCCCUGCACAAAUGUUUGAAAUGUGAGAUGGAUGUACUGCAGAUACAUCCUGCAACACCAGCCAUUUUUAUGGACAAAACACAUUUUAUGGAAAAGAAAAAACUCCCAGUGGAGGGGUCUUGGGCUACAUGGUACUCUUCACUGACUGCUACAGACAGAGGCUGCUGCAAGCUUGACUAUCAGAGAGCGUAGGAGGGGGAACCCAUGGCUUGUCAACAGGAAAUGGCCCACAAAUUAUUUUAAAUUCCGAUAAACAUUUUAAAGUUUUUACUCAGUGUGGGAUCACAUUAAUGUGCAACCCAGUAAAACACACACGAAAUAUCUCUUAGUCCUCAGGAAAGACAGCUAAGCUCAAGAGGUAGGGCAAAGCCUAAACAACUUGGCACGCUUCUCACUGCAAAAGCAAAGCCCUGGCUGUGGCAAAUCUCUAAAAUCCAUAAAUUCAAAAGGCAAAAGCCUGGAAGUAUAGUUUUUGUGGUUUUUUUUUUUUUUUUUUUUUUUUUGUUUUGUUUGUUUUUUAUUAUUUUUUAUUUUAUUUUAUUUUAUUUUACUAGCAGAAGAAGUAUGCAUGUGAACAAACCAUCUAAAGCUAGGUAAAUUUGGGUAGCUUCCUUGAAAGAGGGCAAAGAAUAGUAUUUUUAGGAGCUGAUCAUUAACUCAAAUCAAAACAAAAUAUAGUUGUAAUUGUACAGAAGCUCAUCUUAACUGGUUAUAUUUUCAGGGAAACGAAAAAAGGAAGAAAAAAAAAAACCAGCAACAACAACUGAGCAAAAGCAAACAAUGAAAAGCUGAUCUCCCCAGAUAAUAUCUCUUACUGUCUCGUUAUCAUCUGAGCUCCCUUACAUACAGAUCAUGUGGAAAUAUGAAGGUGUUAAAAUCAGGUAUUAACUUUCUAAACCAGCUAAUUCUUGCAGCAUUGGGUGUUGGCCUGGCUGGAGCACAACUGGUUGAGAAGUUGGGCUGCCUCCAGAACACAUUUGAAAAGGCCUUCAACUACUGUAAUGUCAGCUUUCCUUAGCUUUGGUUUUCUGCUGUUAGCAGCUGCUGUUGAUUAGUUUUCACUGAAGCGUGUUCUCUGGUUGUGCUACAAGCUCUAUCAUUGCUGUUUCUGCAGUGAGUGCUCCAGCAUACAGAUCCGUGUGCUUAACCUAGAGGCUGAGAAAUGUAUGAAACUGAAGAUGGUGCUUGCUGUAAUACAGCUGAGGCUCCAGGGCAGAGCUGUCUUUCUUUCCCUUCUGGUCCUGUGUUUCUAUUUUCUGAGCUGUAGGAAUAAAAAUAAGCAGAAGCCAUGAGCGUAUGCUCAAUAUACGUAAAUGAUCUUCCCUUUGGAAGCACAUGAAACAGGUUGUGUUUUCUCCAUUGACUACUCCAGACAGUACUGAGCAAGAAUAUGAAAUUAACAGAGCAAUUAUACAAUUACAAAAAGCAAGCUACUGAUAUAUAUACAUAUAUAUUUGGUGGUUUUUUUUUUUUUGUUUGUUUGUUUGUUUUUGGUUUUUGUUUUUUGUUUUUUGUAGUGAUAACCACAACAAUUAUGAGGAUAAUGAAGAAAUGUAGUAUUCAUGAAGCAGUCAAGGAGAAGUAAUGAGGGGGGAGGGGGAAGGCUGACUCCUUUAUAAAACCACAGCAUUUGUGUUUUGGGUUACCUUGAGAGGAUU
Molecule: long non-coding RNA, 7439 nt
Organism: Tympanuchus pallidicinctus (lesser prairie-chicken)
Lineage: Eukaryota; Metazoa; Chordata; Aves; Galliformes; Phasianidae
Exons: 3
Source: RefSeq, a predicted model, not a curated record